GUUGUUAAAUAACCAGACACCUUCACGGGGGGCUGAUCAGGGAGGCCCCAAAAGGUCCCAAAAGAAUGAAGCCCUUGUGUGUAUUUAAGACCCACUCCACAGAAGGGAGCCCAUGUCUAGCACUAUAAACCCCAUCCUUGCCUGGGGAAGUCAUGAGUCUAAGGAAGAAACUUACUACUGUUGUCUAACUAAAUUGACAAGGCAUCAAACUGCUGUCCAAAUAUCUGUUUAUACACACAGACAAGUGAACCACACUGAAUGCAGCUGCCCAAGAUCCUGAGCAAAAGUGACAGUUUAGGCCUAAAAUCACACAGAAGAGGGGGAAGGAAGUAUGGAAGAGCCAAAGCCGGGGCCUGGAUGUGGCCAGUGUGGACUCCUUGAGCUAGCUAACUCACCAAGAGAUCUUGCAGAUACUGCAGCGCUCACCUGGACUGAGAGGAACCUCGUGGAUGGGCAAUGUGAGGUAAGCAAUGUGGGUCAAACUGGGCAACAGAGCUGCUGUGUGGGUCCAGAGGGGCAGUGUGGAUUAGAUUUGGCAUUUUUAUUCUUUGCCCUCCUAUCUGAUUACUCCCUUUACACAUCCUGUUGCUUUUUUUGCAGCCUAAGUUUUGAAGGAUGUGUGUUCAGAGUGAAUUAUAUGCACAGG
This 646-nucleotide long non-coding RNA is filed under the name Cricetulus griseus (Chinese hamster). RNAcentral describes it as "lncRNA (ENSCGRG00015031188.1)". Lineage: Eukaryota; Metazoa; Chordata; Mammalia; Rodentia; Cricetidae. The record is from RNAcentral.